AGCAGCCGCGGUAAUUCCAGCUCCAAUAGCGUAUAUUAAAGUUGUUGCAGUUAAAAAGCUCGUAGUUGAAUUUCGGGAUCAGUACGCUGGUCGUGCCUUCGGUAUGUACUGGUGUCACUGAUUCCUCCCUUCUGACGAACCGUUAUGCCAUUUAUUUGGUGUGGCGGGGAAUCAGGACUGUUACUUUGAAAAAAUUAGAGUGUUUAAAGCAGGCUCGCGCUUGAAUACAUUAGCAUGGAAUAAUGAAAUAGGACGUUUGAUUCUAUUUUGUUGGUUUCUAGGAUCGACGUAAUGAUUAAUAGGGAUAGUUGGGGGCAUUAGUAUUCAAUUGUCAGAGGUGAAAUUCUUGGAUUUAUUGAAGACUAACUACUGCGAAAGCAUUUGCCAAGGAUGUUUUCAUUAAUCAAGAACGAAAGUUAGGGGAUCGAAGACGAUCAGAUACCGUCGUAG
RNAcentral lists this ribosomal RNA (450 nucleotides) under uncultured Glomeromycotina. RNAcentral describes it as "SSU rRNA". It matches the Rfam family "Eukaryotic small subunit ribosomal RNA", at positions 569 to 1023 of the family's 1831-position model. Lineage: Eukaryota; Fungi; Glomeromycota. The record is from RNAcentral.